CCUACGGGAGGCAGCAGUGGGGAAUAUUGGGCAAUGGAGGAAACUCUGACCCAGCGACGCCGCGUGCGGGAUGAAGGCCUUCGGGUUGUAAACCGCUUUCAGUAGGGAAGAAGCGAAAGUGACGGUACCUACAAAAGAAGCACCGGCUAACUAUGUGCCAGCAGCCGCGGUAAUACAUAGGGUGCAAGCGUUGUCCGGAAUUAUUGGGCGUAAAGAGCUCGUAGGUCGUUUGUUACGUCGGAUGUGAAAACCCUGAGGCUCAACCUCAGGCCUGCAUUCGAUACGGGCAAACUAGAGUUUGGUAGGGGAGACUGGAAUUCCUGGUGUAGCGGUGGAAUGCGCAGAUAUCAGGAGGAACACCAAUGGCGAAGGCAGGUCUCUGGGCCAAUACUGACACUGAGGAGCGAAAGUCUGGGGAGCGAACAGGAUUAGAUACCCUGGUAGUCCAGACCGUAAACGGUGGGCACUAGUUGUGGGAACCUUCCACGGUUUCCGCGACGCAGCUAACGCAUUAAGUGCCCCGCCUGGGGAGUACGAUCGCAAGNUUAAAACNAAGAUGACG
Molecule: ribosomal RNA, 562 nt
Filed under: uncultured bacterium
Lineage: Bacteria
Description: bacterial SSU rRNA
Rfam family: Bacterial small subunit ribosomal RNA
Source: RNAcentral